UCCAUAUCACAUUAGCUCCUGUGCUUUAUUCUGUUCUCAUAUAGAGGGAGAAAAUAAGCAGUGAUAAGGUGCCUUUUUUAAAGUUCAAAAAUCUGUUUCACUGCUCGCUAUCGCCUAUCCACCCUCCCCUGCCCAGAAUUACAGCAGACCCACUGAUAAGUCUUCGGACAUGUAAUUGCUAAACCAAAGUUGUAGUGUGAUAUAAGAACCCCUCAAGUUGGGAUGGCAUAAUAUGAAGUAAUAGUAAACUAGGUGUCGAGAAACCUGGGUCUCCUCUAAGCUCUGUAAUUUUCGAAAACUAUAUAACUUUCUUGGGCUUCAUGUUUCUUACACAUUAGUAACAAAAAACAACAACAAAAAAAGAGGAGUAAACAAGAUGACUUCUUAGGAUUCUUUUCAGGGCUAUGUUUGAAUCCAUUAAAUUACCCAAUUUCUCUCUUCUCUCAGCUCCUUUGGGGCUUUGCUCAAACGUCUCUGGGAAAACCUAUUUCAUUCAUUUUCAGUUUCAUGGUCUACUUUUUACAUAUCUGUCUUCCUUGCUGGGCAGUGGGUUUCUCAAAAACAAAAAAUAAUUUUUAUUCAGUUUUACAUAAACCUAGUUGAAUGCAGUAAACAUAGCAGUUGUGGAAAGAGUGUUAGUUGAAUGAAUGUGGACAGCUUUGGACAAUCAAGCUAUAAUUUAUAUCACUUAUCCAACAAUAUGCAGCAAUAUUGAAUGUAAGCAUCAAGAAAUAAUGUUUGCUGAUUCUGUUCCCUUACCAUUAAUUUUUUAAAAAUCAAUUAAAUAAAAUAGAUUAAAAAAUAUACUUACGGCUGUGCUUCCAGCUCCCAUUCUAAUGGUCCGACACAGGAAGACUUUCUGAAGUAGUUUUCUUUUGUUGUAUUUGCUUUGAGCUAAAGAAAAUUCCAUGAUGAGUACCAGACUCUUAAAAGAAGGAAGACAGAGAGGGUCAUUGUUUAGUCUCAGCUUCUUUGUUGGAUAUUUCUCACUACCUUUUAAUAUAGGCUAAUGAAGCCUUAGGUCAGGUACCAAUUUCACCUACUAGUGAUUCAUGGGAAGGUAGUGAUUUUGUCAGAAAUUGUUGGGCUGUGUGUUUUUAAUUAGCAUUUCAAUUUACCUUCAAAUACUCCGUUCCAAAAUCAGUAGAUUAUUUCUCCUACAGAGGCCUUAAAACUUCCAGAUGUGUUUACUGCCCUGAUUAGAGCUUGCUUCUUUUGCUAUUGACUAGAUUUCAGUUUUCUUUAGAAGAAUAUCAUUAUAAUCCAAAAUGAGUUGUACUUCUUAGAUUGUAAAUUUGUUUCAACAUAAACAAGUCUAUCUCCAGCUGGCUGGGCUUCUAAGUGGAAAAGUGUAUCCUCGGAAAAAAGCUCGCUUCGUGGAGACCUGGCACAGGUGGGGGAGAGCACCUUGACAAAGCCCUCAGUCAGCAUUAUAACCAGAAGGUCUUGCAAACUGAACAGGUGCUUUUAUGUGUUUACAAGUGGUGGACAGGCUGCUAUACUAGACAUUUGCUGUGGUGACUCCUUGAUUGUAUCCUCAGUUCUUUAUAAAAUGAAACAUUUAAAAAUAUUUUUUAAUAUUUUUACUUUUUCUGUUAUAGUUGAUUUACAAUGUUCUGUCAGUUUCUGCUGUACAGCAAAGUGACCCAGUCAUUCAUAUAUAUAUAUAUAUAUAUAUAUGCACACACACACAUAUAUGUAUAAUUAUCCUCCAUCAUGUAGUAUAUUAGAAUAUGAUAAAUCCAUUGGUGCAAAGGAAAAUCAUUUUUUCUUGCUUAAAAAUAUGUUAAAAAGCAUUUCAUCCAUCUUUUUUUUUUCUUUGAGUGGCCACAUCCAAAACAGUGGAGUGUGACCAGUACAAAACAGUCUUACAUGGUUCUCUCCCUGUGCUCAUUGAAAUAGAAGGUGCUACCAUGUUGCAAUAAAUAGCUCAUCUCAAAUUCGAUGAUGCCUGAUGAGAAUCCUCAGUCACACUUCCCAUUCUGAUUGCUAUUGGCCGGGAAAUCAGCCUUUGUCCCUGCUCAGGAGGAUGGCAUCUGAUCCUCCUUCACCCUAUCAUUCAAGCUCCAUUAUUGUUAUCCCCCAAGCCUCAGUGUGGCAAAGGGAAGUGAAGAAACACCUGGAAAAGUAUCUGUGAAUGAGAAGUUAUGGAAAGCUUCCUGAAGACAGAAUCUCUCCAUGGCUUCUUCCCACAGAGGUAGAAGAUGCCAGAAUCCCUGGGCGAGAUGAUGAUAAUAAAGAAAAGACAUGAUUUUUAUACUAGCAAGUCAGAAAGAUGAAUGUAAGAGCAGCGAGAUGAAGAGGAAGGAUUUCUUUCAUAUGAAAAUCAAUGUAGAAUCUUAGUUCCCUUAGAGACAUUGGCAAAACAAUACUUUGCUUGUCAUAGAAUGGACAUUCAGUAAAUAUUUUGUUAAUGACCUUAAUAUGUAGUAAAAUAGAGAAAUGGAAGUGUUGACAAGAUGUAUGUGGAGAAUUGGGGGCAAAGGGAUGUGGAAGGAUUGGGUGAUAACUAGGAUCUAAGCUCAUAAUGCAAAUUUGAUAUCAUUCUCCUUAGAUUAAGGAUGGUACCCACACUUGACGUCCGGCUUUCCCAAGUGGAUCUUGUUCAUGACCCUGGAAACUUCCAGAAAUUUCUAACAUUUGAAACAAGACAUGUUUUGAAGUCAUGGAGACAGGUUUUGAAUUUUUUUCGUGGGGCUUGGUAGGACUGGGGAGACACAUCCAGUUUGCCAGCUCUUAGUAUAUUGUCAUCACAGAGCAUAAGAUUAUAAUUCUCUUUACCUUUGUCCUGUACACUUGAGUGUUUUUAUUUAAUCUUUCAGUACAUAUAAGGCAUGUGAGAGUUAAUUAUGUCAUCUGAAAAGUACUUUGAAAACUACUUAGGAAAAGAUGCUGGAUAAAUAAGACAUUUUAUUAGCUUACAGGAUGCAAGUUUGGCCAAGCUAGUGGUAUUUUGGGGAUCACUUUUUUAAAAAAUCAAAGACAGAACACAUAUUUAUUUUUUCUUUUUUCUUUUUUUCUUUUUCUUUUUUUUUUGUCUUUUUUUUACUUGUUUUUUUCCCACUGUACAGCAAGGGGAUCAAGUUAUCCUUACAUGUAUACAUUUUUUUUCCCCAUCCUUUGUUCUGUUGCAAUAUGAGUAUCUAGACAUAGUUCUCAAUGCUACUCACCAGGAUCUCCUUGUAAAUCUAUUCUAAGUUGUAUCUGAUAACCCCAAGCUCCUGAUCCCUCCCACUCCUCCCUCUCCCAUUGGGCAGCCACACGUCUGUUUUCCAAGUCCAUGAUUUUCUUUUCUGUGGAGAUGUUCAUUUGUGCUGGAUAUUAGAUUCCAGUUAUAAGUGAUAUCAUAUGGUAUUUGUCUUUGUCUUUCUGACUCAUUUCACUCAGUAUGAGAUUCUCUAGUUCCAUCCAUGUUGCUGCAAAUGGCAUUAUGUCAUUCUUUUUUAUGGCUGAGUAGUAUUCCAUUGAAGAACACAUAUUUAUUGACAUUCAAGCUAGGAAGGCAACACUAAUGAUGGACACGAUGUGACUAUGGAAUAGCUGACAAUCAUACAAUUUAAUGAAAAAUUACAGAAUGUAAAUGCUACAUUUAUUUAGAGAGAAGGGAGAUCAUUUGGGCUAAAGUGUUUGAGGAGAGAACUUAUGAGCAAAGUGACUCCAGAGCCAGGACAUAAAAUCUGGUAAAUUUUUUUGAUAGUUUGGUGUUUUAUGUGAGGAGUUCAGGGACUGAGCACCAGGAGGUAUAUCUGGGGCUCUCUGGGUUACUUGUAACAGGGAAUGGGCAGGGUGUGCUAGGCUGUGGAUUUGUUUUCCACUGGAAGCCCUUCUCUUGGCUUAUUACAGAUGCUGCAUACAGGUCUUUGCUGGGGAUGGCCACUGUUGCAAGUGUCUCUGCAAACUUCUUUUGUAUGAACGUUGUAUAAAUUCUAUUUUAAAACUUCUUUAACAGUACCCCAAGAGACCUAUUAAAGAUAGCAAUAGCAUGGCUUCCUCUCAAGAAUGGAUCUGAAAUGGACCCUACAAUGGUAGAGUUGGCCUGGGAUUUCCUCCUUCAUCCCCAAUUCCUUGCCACCUGCUUAUGCUGACAGUCUUGGCCCGAUAGAGCCAUAGGGCCUCAUAAAAUUUGAGAUUAUCCACCAGUGAUUCUCUGCUAUUCCGCUAAGCAGGGCCUAGUGGCAUUUGGAAAUAGGGUUGACUACAAAGAGUUAGAAGCUUUUAGUGCCCAGAGUCAGGGAUGCUAAGUCUCUUUCAUGCCAGGGGCAGCCCUGCCCAGGAAGAAUGCCAGUAGACCCCUGUUGAAAGCUGAGUGCAACAUCCUUACUUUAUUUAGAGGUGAGGAAAUGAGAGUGACAAGACUUCCCUAGGAUUAAACUCCAAUGCGGCCAUGACAGAUUUAUAACCCAGUUGUUCUAGGCUCUUUUCAAGGGCUCCUUCUGCUACACCACAGUCCCACUCAUAAACAUUGAUUUUCACCAUGGAAUAGCGUGCUGUUGAGCUUUGUCAUUCCCAUGUGCGGGUGACAAUCAGCCAUGUUAACUACCUGAGUUGGGGGUUAUGAAUUGAGACAAGUGACACUUGAACAGUGGUUUUUUUUCUCUGGGGACACAGAGAUUUGCCCGUGAGUGAGGGUUGGCAGAUGCCCUCUGAGGUGGCAACCACUGCAGAAGCCUAACGGUAGGUUGGCAUUCUGGAAGGGCCUGGAGGAGGCUUUGGAAUCACACAAAUCUGGCUUGUUGGAGGCACUUGAAUCCAGCUCAGCCCUUUACUACCUUUAUGACUCUCAGCAAGUUAAUUAAACACUCUGAACUUUAUCUGAAAAAUGGGGAUGGUGAUUCUUACUUCGAAAAGCUGUUGUAGUUUCAAUUUAUUUAAACAACGGCUGGCCCAAGAGAAGAGACUGUUCUAAGAGAAGAGACUUAAAACCUUCACUCAUGAAAGAUCACUUGAAGCUAAUUGCUGCUUUUUGCCCCCUCCUCCUUUCUCUGAUCCACCAAAGUUAGGGCUUGAAUGAGUCCUUGAAGUAUCUCUUUUGUUUGAAAUAUUGAAAUUUCCCUCCUUUGGAAGAGGACUGCUGGCCAGAGCUUAGUUUCUUGUGACUUCUCUGUUAAUGUGCCCAGACUGUUACCACACCACAGAAAUGAAAAGUCUACCAGAUGUUUACUGGUGGCUUAUGAAAUUUCACUUUUCUUUCUUUUUUUUUUUUUUUUUUGCCUUUUCUAGGUCUGCUCCGGCAGCAUAUGGAGGUUCCCAGGCUAGGGGUCUAAUUGGAGCUGUAGCUGCCGGCUUACGCCACAGCCACAGCAACUCAGGAUCCGAGCCAUGUCUGCAACCUACACCACAGCUCACGGCAACGCCGGACCCUUAACCCACUGAGCAAGGCCAGAGAUCAAACCUGCAACCUCAUGGUUCCUAGUCGGAUUCAUUAACCACUGAGCCACAAUGGGAACUCCCAGAUCAGUAAUAAAAGCCAUUCCUGGAUGUAUAUGUUUGUCAGAGAGAUUUCUCUCUGUCGAUGAUGAGAGACCCUUCAUAGGCAAAGUGAUACUUCUUCUGAGUUAAGGGACAGUUGAAAGUUGGCCAGUUGGGGUGGUGGGGAUUAUGGUAAAAGGCCUUUCUGGGUAAAAAAUAGCUUAUGAGGAUACAUCGUAAUGCAGGAGAACCCAGAAGGGUGCACACAAAAGCCAAAGAGUGUUUCAGGCCUUGACUUUGAAAACAUUUGCAGACUCUGACCCCCAAGGGCACAUUUGCCCAUUAUUGAAAUGCUUUAAAGUUGCUUCUGUUUGUUACAAGUUAAUUCUCUUAAAGGCAAAAUCAUGAGUCUUCUACAGAUAGAAAACGAACAGACGUAAAAUAAUACAGAUAUUAAUUAAUGAAGGAACUUGAAGAGAUGUUAUAGCUAUUUUUAAAAAGAAGUAUGAGUGUAUAUACAGUAGCAGAACGUUGAAAUGAAUCUGCAAACUCUGAUCCAUCUGUAGAGCAGUAAUCAGUUACAUUCCACUGGAUACAACUGAUUUGCAUUCAUAUGGACAAAAAUCAAUUCUACAGCUCAUUUUUACAACUUCUGAUGCCUUGUAACAGUAAAAUAGCAUCGUCAAAGACAAAGGCCCAGACCUCUAUGGGAUCAGUUAAUUCCUGGAGGCACAACAUUCCAUUGAGAAGAUAUUCAGUAAUCUCCUUGCUCAUUUCACAGUCCAGAGUUUUUCCUUAUACCUUCAUGCUUCCAUUGGCCAUUGUUCCUUCUUGACCUCCUAAUUCAUAACGAAUAUUUGGUGACACAGGAUUCUUGUAACUUCGGGAAUUUUCUGUCUUUCCUAGAUAUAUACUUAUUCAAAAAAACUUAAUUAUGGGAAAUUUUAAGCAUGUAAAAAGUAAAGAGAAUAGCAUUUUGAACCCCAGGUACCCAUUACUCAGUUUUCAGAGUCAUCAAUAUUUUGCUAUUUUUUUUCUUUGGUGGCCACCCCUGACAUGCAUGGAAGUUCCUGGGCCAGGGACUGAAUCCUAGCCACAGCUGAGACUUACACAGCGGCUUCGGCAAUGCCAGAUCUUUUGACCCACUGCAGUGGGCAGGGAAUCAAUCCGAGACUCCUCAAAGACCAGAGCCACUGCAGUCAGAUUCUUAACCACUGCACCACAGCAGGAACUCCAAUAUUUUGCUAUCCUUAUUUCAUCUUUCCGCCCUGCCUCUCCCUGAGUAUUUUAAAGCAAUCUCAGACAUCUUGUCUUUUUAAUAUAUGUGUUUAACAAGUAAUCCUCCUAUUUUCUGAAUAGCAAUAUGACCUGUAUUUUAUGGAGAAUAGAGAGAUAAUACUUUAUGAAAGGACAUUAUACUCUUUAGACUUGACUUUGUGAUAUGAAGGAGGCGUGUGUGUGUGUAUGUGUGUGUUCAUAUACACACACAGACACAUACACACACAUAUACAUCCAUGUAGGACCGGUUCCCUUUUGUCAUUCAGGGUCCAGCUCAAAUGUCACUUUCUCCAAAGGAAUCUUCUGACCCCCAGCUAGGUCAUGCUGUCAUAUAACCCUGCUUUAUUUUCUUCACAGCACUUAUCACUAUCUAAUAUUAUCUUGUUUAUUAAUUUGUUUUUCUAUUUUUUUUGUCCAUCACCACCAACAAAGAUGUAAACUCCCUAACAGGACAGACCUUUUCUGUCUUGGUCACGUUAUAUCCCAUAGAAAAUCCUUAGUAAGUUUUGAUUGAAUAAAUACAUCUUAGUAUUAAGUAUUAAUAGAAGUUAUAUUGGCAUUCUUCCAAAAAUUUUAUUUUCAUUCUACACACCCAAAAACACAUGACUUUCAUGUGCCAAUUCCUAGUGUAUUUACAAUUAUGUGAGAUUUCCUCAUGCUAUGGAUCAAGGAGCUCAUUCUGGGGAAUCAAAGAUAACCCAGGACACCUCUCCAAAAAUGGCCUGAAACUGAUAUAUUCAGUAGCCACUUCAUCUGAUCAGCAAAUAUAGUUAAGAAUUUGUAUUUCUCCCAGAAGGAGGCCAUAACAUAAGGAUUCAGGUAAAAUCUUAUGUGGGAAAGUGAUAAAGGGAAGGAAAGGAGCCAGUAAAGGGUGCAUUGCCAAGAAAGUUACCACCAUUGUCAGCUGGAGUUGAUUAUCUUCCCGAGAGAUUUUGGGACCUUGGGCAAAACACACGUCUCAGAGACCUCUCACCCAUGGUUGAAAGAAUUUGAAUAUUUACCCACCAACUUCCAUCUGUCAUUAUUCCUGGUCACUAACACAAUAGGGUUGGGGGGCAAAGUGGUCUCCAGAUGCAGAAGAAAACCUCUAGGCAAAGAAAUACAGGUGCUGGUGGUUAGAAAUGGGGCCCUGUGUGGUAGUAGGGGUGAGGGAGUUUGGCUGGGGAAGGGACAGGUGACUUGCAUGGGAUAACAAUAUGAUUUUUUAAAUAAAUAUUUUAUUUGGUAUUAAUUUCAGGUUUACAGAAAAGUUGCAAAGACUGUAAAGCCCUGUAGAGUUCCUGUAUAGCCCUUGUCCAGUUUCCCCCAAUAUUAACAUCCACAAUCAUGGUAUAUUCGUCAAA
RNAcentral lists this long non-coding RNA (8030 nucleotides) under Sus scrofa (pig). RNAcentral describes it as "lncRNA (ENSSSCG00025040812.1)". The record is from RNAcentral. Lineage: Eukaryota; Metazoa; Chordata; Mammalia; Artiodactyla; Suidae.